GAUGAACGCUGGCGGCGUGCUUAACACAUGCAAGUCGAACGGAAAGGCUCCUGCUUGCAGGGGUACUCGAGUGGCGAACGGGUGAGUAACACGUGGGUGAUCUGCCCUGCACUUCGGGAUAAGCCUGGGAAACUGGGUCUAAUACCGGAUAGGACCACAUUUUGGAUGGUGUGGUGGAAAGUUUUUCGGUGUGGGAUGAGCUCGCGGCCUAUCAGCUUGUUGGUGGGGUAAUGGCCUACCAAGGCGUCGACGGGUAGCCGGCCUGAGAGGGUGUACGGCCACAUUGGGACUGAGAUACGGCCCAGACUCCUACGGGAGGCAGCAGUGGGGAAUAUUGCACAAUGGGAGCAAGCCUGAUGCAGCGACGCAGCGUGGGGGAUGACGGCCUUCGGGUUGUAAACUCCUUUCGCUAGGGACGAAGCGCAAGUGACGGUACCUGGAGAAGAAGCACCGGCUAACUACGUG
This 465-nucleotide ribosomal RNA is filed under the name uncultured bacterium. Its description in RNAcentral is "partial 16S ribosomal RNA". It matches the Rfam family "Bacterial small subunit ribosomal RNA", at positions 28 to 507 of the family's 1533-position model. The record is from RNAcentral.